Molecule: ribosomal RNA, 459 nt
Filed under: uncultured bacterium
Lineage: Bacteria
Description: partial 16S ribosomal RNA
Rfam family: Bacterial small subunit ribosomal RNA
Source: RNAcentral
CCUACGGGAGGCAGCAGUGAGGAAUAUUGGUCAAUGGGCGCGAGCCUGAACCAGCCACGUCGCGUGAGGGAAGACGGUCCUAUGGAUUGUAAACUUCUUUUGUCGGGGAGCAAAAGACGCCACGCGUGGCGUUCCGAGAGUACCCGUAGAAAAAGCAUCGGUAAACACCGUGCCAGCAGCCGCGGUAAUACGGAGGAUGCGAGCGUUAUCCGGAUUUAUUGGGUUUAAAGGGUGCGCAGGCGGAAGAUCAAGUCAGCGGUAAAAUUGAGAGGCUCAACCUCUUCGAGCCGUUGAAACUGGGUGUCUUGAGUGAACGAGAGGUAUGCGGAAUGCGUGGUGUAGCGGUGAAAUGCAUAGAUAUCACGAAGAACUCCGAUUGCGAAGGCAGCAUACCGGCGCUCAACUGACGCUCAGGCACGAAAGUGUGGGUAUCGAACAGGAUUAGAUACCCGUGUAGUC